Molecule: ribosomal RNA, 253 nt
Filed under: uncultured bacterium
Lineage: Bacteria
Description: partial 16S ribosomal RNA
Rfam family: Bacterial small subunit ribosomal RNA
Source: RNAcentral
UACGUAGGGGGCAAGCGUUGUCCGGAAUCAUUGGGCGUAAAGCGCGCGUAGGCGGCCAGAUAAGUCCGGUGUGAAAGUCACAGGCUCAACCUGUGAAUGCCGCUGGAAACUGUCUGGCUUGAGUCCGGAAGGGGCGAGUGGAAUUCCUGGUGUAGCGGUGAAAUGCGCAGAUAUCGGGAGGAACACCGGUGGCGAAGGCGGUUCUCUGGGCCUUACCUGACGCUGAGGAGCGAAAGCGUGGGGAGCGAACAGG